This 501-nucleotide ribosomal RNA is filed under the name uncultured bacterium. RNAcentral describes it as "partial 16S ribosomal RNA". It matches the Rfam family "Bacterial small subunit ribosomal RNA", at positions 30 to 523 of the family's 1533-position model. The record is from RNAcentral.
AUUGAACGCUGGCGGCAUGCCUUACACAUGCAAGUCGAACGGCAGCACGGGUGCUUGCACCUGGUGGCGAGUGGCGAACGGGUGAGUAAUAUAUCGGAACGUACCUUAUUGUGGGGGAUAACGCAGCGAAAGCUGUGCUAAUACCGCAUAAUCCCUAAGGGGGAAAGUGGGGGACCGUAAGGCCUCGCGCAAUUAGAGCGGCCGAUACCUGAUUAGCUAGUUGGUGAGGUAAAGGAUCACCAAGGCAACGAUCAGUAGCUGGUCUGAGAGGACGAUCAGCCACACUGGGACUGAGACACGGCCCAGACUCCUACGGGAGGCAGCAGUGGGGAAUUUUGGACAAUGGGGGCAACCCUGAUCCAGCAAUGCCGCGUGAGUGAAGAAGGCCUUCGGGUUGUAAAGCUCUUUUGUCAGGGAAGAAACAGCAGCUCUAACACAGUUUGCGAAUGACGGUACCUGAAGAAUAAGCCCCGGCUAACUACGUGCCAGCCGCCGCCGUAA